Non-coding RNA from Paramuricea clavata, 75 nucleotides. The record is from the annotation of a GenBank genome assembly. NCBI's taxonomy places the organism in Eukaryota, Metazoa, Cnidaria, Anthozoa, Malacalcyonacea, Plexauridae.
GGCUCUGUAGCUCAAUUGGUUAGAGCGCUGCACCGGAAUCGCAGGGCCGUAGGUUCAAUUCCUACCAGAGGACCU